GUAGGUGAACCUGCGGAAGGAUCAUUAUCAAACGUAUCCACGUAUAAACCAAUUAUAUUAAUGUGAAAUGUCAUGAACCUUUGAUGGAUCAGAUGAUUGCUGUACUUACUCUUGCACUUGAUUAAAGCAUGAGAGUAGUAUGGACCUGGGAUUAGCGUAACUGCUUGUUCCCUAGCUCUGAUUUAUCGAAGUGUAAUUAUCUUUAAUUUAAUCAACUAUUAACCCAUUGAACCGAUUAACUAUUUAUUAU
Molecule: unclassified non-coding RNA, 250 nt
Filed under: plant metagenome
Description: partial contains small subunit ribosomal RNA, internal transcribed spacer 1, and 5.8S ribosomal RNA
Source: RNAcentral